UGGGGAAUAUUGCACAAUGGGCGCAAGCCUGAUGCAGCCAUGCCGCGUGUAUGAAGAAGGCCUUCGGGUUGUAAAGUACUUUCAGUCGGGAGGAAGGUGUCAAGGUUAAUAACCUUGGCAAUUGACGUUACCGACAGAAGAAGCACCGGCUAACUCCGUGCCAGCAGCCGCGGUAAUACGGAGGGUGCAAGCGUUAAUCGGAAUUACUGGGCGUAAAGCGCACGCAGGCGGUUGAUUGAGUCAGAUGUGAAAUCCCCGGGCUUAACCCGGGAAUUGCAUCUGAUACUGGGCAGCUAGAGUCUUGUAGAGGGGGGUAGAAUUCCAUGUGUAGCGGUGAAAUGCGUAGAGAUGUGGAGGAAUACCGGUGGCGAAGGCGGCCCCCUGGACAAAGGCUGACGCUCAGGUGCGAAAGCGUGGGGAGCAAACAGG
This 429-nucleotide ribosomal RNA is filed under the name Chloroflexota bacterium. RNAcentral's name for it is "Chloroflexi bacterium partial 16S ribosomal RNA". It matches the Rfam family "Bacterial small subunit ribosomal RNA", at positions 355 to 776 of the family's 1533-position model. Lineage: Bacteria; Bacillati; Chloroflexota. The record is from RNAcentral.